AUUAAUAAAGGCAUUCAUUUAGAUUGUGAAUGCAGUGUUCGUCCAUAAUAAAAGUGAUCAGGGUUUUAGUCUGAGUUUUACGAUUUUCUUAUAAUUAUCAGGUUAUAAUUCAAGUUUUGAUAUAUUGGUAUAUGAAAUUAAAUAUUAGGUAUAUUGUUUGAGAUGAAUAUUGUCAAAUUUAUGAUAUUUGGAGGAAAUUAGACUUAACCCUGAGAUUAAAAAUUUAGGAGGAUGAUAUGUAGCGUAUGGGUUGGAAUCAAGAACUAGG
RNAcentral lists this long non-coding RNA (268 nucleotides) under Solanum tuberosum (potato). Its description in RNAcentral is "long non-coding RNA (STUB_LNC002546)". Lineage: Eukaryota; Viridiplantae; Streptophyta; Magnoliopsida; Solanales; Solanaceae. The record is from RNAcentral.